GCCACGGAUUGGAGGCAUGGAGUACCCAGAUGCUCCUCUUGCGGUCACAAGGUGCUUGGAGAAGACUUUUCUCAGUCCGCUGUGACAGCUUCACCUCCAACCAAAAAGAGUACUCCAAGGAAGCUCAGUCCAAAGAAGAAGAGGACCUGAGCACUGUUAUUUAAGCACUGUUAAGUGCCAAUCAGUGUCAUUUGUGAGAGGCAAGCAGGGUUAUGUGUCAUGUCAGUACCAUUUGUGAACCUCCAUGGUCAGCGUCUUUGAGAUGUUAUUGUCUUGUUAGUGUCAUUUGUGAACUCCUGUUGUACUUUUGUCAUGUUUUACCAUGUUGCUGCAUGAAUGGAUGAACAGUGAACAUUGGCUCC
This is a long non-coding RNA of Phragmites australis (common reed), 362 nucleotides long. RefSeq lists it as uncharacterized. The transcript is spliced from 2 exons. The record is from RefSeq and is a predicted model, not a curated record. NCBI's taxonomy places the organism in Eukaryota, Viridiplantae, Streptophyta, Magnoliopsida, Poales, Poaceae.